RNAcentral lists this ribosomal RNA (2606 nucleotides) under Enterococcus faecium EnGen0182. RNAcentral's name for it is "bacterial LSU rRNA". It matches the Rfam family "Bacterial large subunit ribosomal RNA", at positions 311 to 2925 of the family's 2925-position model. The record is from RNAcentral. Lineage: Bacteria; Bacillati; Bacillota; Bacilli; Lactobacillales; Enterococcaceae.
AUAUGGUAGUUCUUUCAGAUAGUCGAAUGACUUGGAAAAGUCAGUCAAAGAGGGUAAAAACCCCGUAGACGAAAUGUGGAAGACACCUAGGAGGAUCCUGAGUACGGCGGAACACGAGAAAUUCCGUCGGAAUCCGGGAGGACCAUCUCCCAAGGCUAAAUACUCCCUAGUGACCGAUAGUGAACCAGUACCGUGAGGGAAAGGUGAAAAGCACCCCGGAAGGGGAGUGAAAUAGAACCUGAAACCGUGUGCCUACAACAAGUCAAAGCCCGUUAAUGGGUGAUGGCGUGCCUUUUGUAGAAUGAACCGGCGAGUUACGAUUGCAUGCGAGGUUAAGUUGAAGAGACGGAGCCGCAGCGAAAGCGAGUCUGAAUAGGGCGUUUGAGUAUGUAGUCGUAGACCCGAAACCAUGUGAUCUACCCAUGUCCAGGUUGAAGGUGCGGUAAAACGCACUGGAGGACCGAACCCACGUACGUUGAAAAGUGCGGGGAUGAGGUGUGGGUAGCGGAGAAAUUCCAAACGAACUUGGAGAUAGCUGGUUCUCUCCGAAAUAGCUUUAGGGCUAGCCUCGGAAUUGAGAAUGAUGGAGGUAGAGCACUGUUUGGACUAGGGGCCCAUCUCGGGUUACCGAAUUCAGAUAAACUCCGAAUGCCAUUCAUUCAUAUCCGGGAGUCAGACUGUGAGUGAUAAGAUCCAUAGUCGAAAGGGAAACAGCCCAGACCACCAGCUAAGGUCCCAAAAUAUAUGUUAAGUGGAAAAGGAUGUGGGGUUGCACAGACAACUAGGAUGUUGGCUUAGAAGCAGCCAUCAUUUAAAGAGUGCGUAAUAGCUCACUAGUCGAGUGACCCUGCGCCGAAAAUGUACCGGGGCUAAACAUAUUACCGAAGCUGUGGAGUACACCUUUAGGUGUAUUGGUAGGAGAGCGUUCUAAGGGCGUUGAAGGCAGAUCGUGAGGACUGCUGGAGCGCUUAGAAGUGAGAAUGCCGGUAUGAGUAGCGAAAGACAGGUGAGAAUCCUGUCCACCGAAUGACUAAGGUUUCCUGGGGAAGGCUCGUCCGCCCAGGGUUAGUCGGGACCUAAGCCGAGGCCGACAGGCGUAGGCGAUGGAUAACAGGUUGAUAUUCCUGUACCCGUUGUUUUUGUUUGAGCAAUGGAGGGACGCAGGAGGCUAAGGAAUGCAGACGAUUGGAAAUGUCUGUCCAAGCAGUAAGUCUGAAGAGGAGUCAAAUGCUUCUUUUCUUAAGGACAAGCUGUGAUGGGGAGGGAAAUAAUAGUACCGAAGUUCCUGAUGUCACACUGCCGAGAAAAGCUUCUAGUGAGAAAACAGCGGCCCGUACCGCAAACCGACACAGGUAGUCGAGGAGAGAAUCCUAAGGUGAGCGAGAGAACUCUCGUUAAGGAACUCGGCAAAAUGACCCCGUAACUUCGGGAGAAGGGGUGCUGAUCAUACGAUCAGCCGCAGUGAAUAGGCCCAAGCGACUGUUUAUCAAAAACACAGGUCUCUGCAAAAUCGUAAGAUGAAGUAUAGGGGCUGACGCCUGCCCGGUGCUGGAAGGUUAAGAGGAGUGCUUAGCGCAAGCGAAGGUACGAAUUGAAGCCCCAGUAAACGGCGGCCGUAACUAUAACGGUCCUAAGGUAGCGAAAUUCCUUGUCGGGUAAGUUCCGACCCGCACGAAAGGCGUAACGAUUUGGGCACUGUCUCAACGAGAGACUCGGUGAAAUUUUAGUACCUGUGAAGAUGCAGGUUACCCGCGACAGGACGGAAAGACCCCAUGGAGCUUUACUGUAGUUUGAUAUUGAGUGUCUGUACCGCAUGUACAGGAUAGGUAGGAGCCGUAGAAAUCGGAACGCUAGUUUCGAUGGAGGCGCUGGUGGGAUACUACCCCUGCGUUAUGGCCACUCUAACCCGCACCACUAAUCGUGGUGGGAGACAGUGUCAGAUGGGCAGUUUGACUGGGGCGGUCGCCUCCUAAAAGGUAACGGAGGCGCCCAAAGGUUCCCUCAGAAUGGUUGGAAAUCAUUCGAAGAGUGUAAAGGCAGAAGGGAGCUUGACUGCGAGACCAACAAGUCGAGCAGGGACGAAAGUCGGGCUUAGUGAUCCGGUGGUUCCGCAUGGAAGGGCCAUCGCUCAACGGAUAAAAGCUACCCUGGGGAUAACAGGCUUAUCUCCCCCAAGAGUCCACAUCGACGGGGAGGUUUGGCACCUCGAUGUCGGCUCGUCGCAUCCUGGGGCUGUAGUCGGUCCCAAGGGGUGGGCUGUUCGCCCAUUAAAGCGGCACGCGAGCUGGGUUCAGAACGUCGUGAGACAGUUCGGUCCCUAUCCGUCGCGGGCGUUGGAAAUUUGAGAGGAGCUGUCCUUAGUACGAGAGGACCGGGAUGGACUUACCGCUGGUGUACCAGUUGUUCUGCCAAGGGCAUUGCUGGGUAGCUAUGUAGGGAAGGGAUAAACGCUGAAAGCAUCUAAGUGUGAAGCCCACCUCAAGAUGAGAUUUCCCAUUUCUUUAAGAAAGUAAGAUCCCUGAGAGAUGAUCAGGUAGAUAGGUCAGGAGUGGAAGUACAGUGAUGUAUGGAGCGGACUGAUACUAAUCGAUCGAGGACUUAACCAA